This 253-nucleotide ribosomal RNA is filed under the name uncultured bacterium. RNAcentral's name for it is "partial 16S ribosomal RNA". It matches the Rfam family "Bacterial small subunit ribosomal RNA", at positions 524 to 776 of the family's 1533-position model. The record is from RNAcentral.
UACGGAGGUCCCAAGCGUUGUUCGGAAUUACUGGGCGUAAAGGGAGCGCAGGCGGAUAGUUAAGUCUAAAGUGGAAUCCAGGGGCUCAACCUCUGAACUGCUUCGGAUACUGGUUGUCUUGAGUUCGUGAGAGGAAAGCGGAAUUCAGGGUGUAGCGGUGAAAUGCUUAGAUAUCCUGAGGAACACCGAUGGCGAAAGCAGCUUUCUGGCGCGAUACUGACGCUGAGGCUCGAAAGCGUGGGGAGCGAACGGG